Molecule: ribosomal RNA, 164 nt
Filed under: uncultured bacterium
Lineage: Bacteria
Description: partial 16S rRNA
Rfam family: Bacterial small subunit ribosomal RNA
Source: RNAcentral
UAGGGAAUCUUCCACAAUGGACGCAAGUCUGAUGGAGCAACGCCGCGUGAGUGAAGAAGGGUUUCGGCUCGUAAAGCUCUGUUGUUAAAGAAGAACGUGGGUAAAAGUAACUGUUUACCCAGUGACGGUAUUUAACCAGAAAGCCACGGCUAACUACGUGCCAG